Long non-coding RNA from Salvia splendens (bonfire salvia), 249 nucleotides. RefSeq lists it as uncharacterized. Lineage: Eukaryota; Viridiplantae; Streptophyta; Magnoliopsida; Lamiales; Lamiaceae. The record is from RefSeq and is a predicted model, not a curated record. The transcript has 3 exons.
AUCCCGUGCAUACAGACUAUCUACCAUGUGCAAGCGCAUGGAAUGGUCCGGCGUCGUAUGUAAAAGCACCCGGACAUUGUAUUGAAAAUUUCCGAGAUCAGUUCUCCAUGAUGCAUGCCAACCAGUUUAUUUGGAUGCCUUAUCUCCAACGGGAGUUGCCGGAAAGUUGUGAUGCCGGUCGUCCUGUAUGGAUGUCGAUAACAACGCUUAUUUGCUGGAAUCUGGCUGAGCCACACCUGCCACACCGAG